GAUACUCAGGGCACACAGCAUAUAGAGUAUUCUUGUUCCGCAAAAAACAGUACCUCUGCUGCUGCUGUACACUCUGCUGCUUCAGAGUCGCUGUUUAACACUGUGGGUUCACCCUUGAAUUCUUCCUGGAUGAAGCCAAGAACCCUCCUGGGCUAAGCCUCAAUUUUGGGGCUUGCCUGUCCUGCGUCAGCAUGAGUACGGACUUUGGGGUUACAAAUAGGUGCAUUUGCAAAUAUGGAAUCCACGAAUGAUGAAGAUAGACUAUCACUGGGUACCACCGGAAUUCUCUGACCUGAUAACUUCAUAUGCAAAUCCUGGCUGGUCCUUGGAACAGGAGAAAGGGUUGGAAAACAAAGAUCACUUUUCUCUGGCCAAAUGGAAUCACCCAACAAAGUACCUUCCUGAUGGGCCAGCUAUUUCAGAUGAUGAAGGUUUAAGAAGCAGCAUCAUCAGCGAACUGUGUUUUGAAGAUUUGAGGGAAGGGCUGACCUCAGGAUUUUAUACUAGGAAGGCCCUAUCUCAAGUGGCUCUGGUCCAUGCAAACAGAUGGAAACGGGUGUGGGGAAGCACAGGCCUCCUACUCAUGUUAAGAGAGCUGCUCAGAGGCAGGAAUCCAGAACCAGGAAUGUCCCCAGUGGCUGCCCAAGUUGCUGACCUCCAUAACAGCAGACAAAAUUGGAAGCAAGAGUGAUUUUGGAGGAGUCACACUUAGAUGUUUCCCUUACCUAUUUCUGUUCUGGAAAUUUAAAAAUCUUACUUCUCGUGACAGUCCUACAUGAAAAAUUAAAAAUCACAAGGAUUCAUGGAUGGAAAACUGAGACUCAGAGAAUGAUCACAUUCACAUCGUAAUAAAUCAGCAAUAGAGUGAGUGAUUGUUCCUUGGUAAGAAAUCAACUCUAAACUCAGUUGGAAACCUUUGCCAAUAUUACUUAACACAUGACAA
This is a long non-coding RNA of Homo sapiens (human), 943 nucleotides long. Ensembl annotates it as long intergenic non-protein coding RNA 2028. Lineage: Eukaryota; Metazoa; Chordata; Mammalia; Primates; Hominidae. The record is from Ensembl.